RNAcentral lists this ribosomal RNA (207 nucleotides) under uncultured bacterium. RNAcentral's name for it is "partial 16S ribosomal RNA". It matches the Rfam family "Bacterial small subunit ribosomal RNA", at positions 568 to 774 of the family's 1533-position model. The record is from RNAcentral.
CGUGUAGGCGGUCAGGUAAGUGAAAUAGUGAAAUGCCUCGGCUCACCCGAGGACCGGCAUCUCAUACUGCUUGGCUUGAGUUCGGGAGAGGAUGUGGGAAUUCCUGGUGUAGCGGUGAAAUGCGUAGAUAUCAGGAGGAACACCGGUGGCGAAGGCGCACAUCUGGCCCGAUACUGACGCGUGAGGCGCAAGGCUAGGGAGCAAACG